CUCAAACUGGGCCUGGAGGGCCUUCAGCUCCUCAGUCGUGGCACUGAUGGUGGCCUGCGGGGAGAAGGGAGCCCACAGUGGCACCAGGGAGCUGGGCCCAGCAGUGGAGGGUGAGGCUGCUGGGAUGAGGAGACGUCCACGGCCCCUGCCGGCUGUGAUGUCGCCCUCUCCCACUGCGCAGUGCCCUGGGGAUGGGGCGUAAGCCCUCCACCCCAGCUCCGAGUCACCGAGCAUCCCCCAAGGCCCUGUUGCCUGGACGCCCCGGCCCCCCAGCAGGCGGCCUGCACAUGCCUCUGUGCAGUCAGUGAGAAGGGCUCCCGUUCAGAAUGGGCAGAGAAGGGGCCUGUCUCCUGCACCUGGCACCAUGGCCUGUGUUCUGUUCACUGCACACUGAACCGUACAUUCAAUGCCAGUCAGGACUCAAUGUGGGUGUCCUUUCCUGCCGAAAGUUUCCUCGGGUGCAGGGCCAGCCGCCUUGGGUUCAGUUUCUCCUUUGGAAGGAUCUCUCUGGCCCAUCUGGGGGAGGGCAGCCCAGAGACAUGCGUGCACCUGUGUGGGCUGACCUAUGCGCAGUGUCACCAAUGUCUGUGACAUUGUUGUAACGACAACAAAGCUGGAGGCCACCCAGACGCCCAUGGAAGGAAGAACGGCGCAGAAAGACCCAGUCCUGGCAGCUCAGCAUGCAGCCCAGAAACAGAAGAACAAAGCUGCAGAUACACAGCUGGGAAAGGCCACCGAGAUGCUUUGAUAAUUGAGAAGAGGAAAGCCCAGGAGCCGGCAUGGAUUUUUCAUUCCUUUUGU
RNAcentral lists this non-coding RNA (801 nucleotides) under Pongo abelii (Sumatran orangutan). Lineage: Eukaryota; Metazoa; Chordata; Mammalia; Primates; Hominidae. The record is from RNAcentral.